Molecule: ribosomal RNA, 979 nt
Filed under: Lactiplantibacillus plantarum
Lineage: Bacteria; Bacillati; Bacillota; Bacilli; Lactobacillales; Lactobacillaceae
Description: bacterial SSU rRNA
Rfam family: Bacterial small subunit ribosomal RNA
Source: RNAcentral
GCUGGCGGCGUGCCUAAUACAUGCAAGUCGAACGAACUCUGGUAUUGAUUGGUGCUUGCAUCAUGAUUUACAUUUGAGUGAGUGGCGAACUGGUGAGUAACACGUGGGAAACCUGCCCAGAAGCGGGGGAUAACACCUGGAAACAGAUGCUAAUACCGCAUAACAACUUGGACCGCAUGGUCCGAGUUUGAAAGAUGGCUUCGGCUAUCACUUUUGGAUGGUCCCGCGGCGUAUUAGCUAGAUGGUGGGGUAACGGCUCACCAUGGCAAUGAUACGUAGCCGACCUGAGAGGGUAAUCGGCCACAUUGGGACUGAGACACGGCCCAAACUCCUACGGGAGGCAGCAGUAGGGAAUCUUCCACAAUGGACGAAAGUCUGAUGGAGCAACGCCGCGUGAGUGAAGAAGGGUUUCGGCUCGUAAAACUCUGUUGUUAAAGAAGAACAUAUCUGAGAGUAACUGUUCAGGUAUUGACGGUAUUUAACCAGAAAGCCACGGCUAACUACGUGCCAGCAGCCGCGGUAAUACGUAGGUGGCAAGCGUUGUCCGGAUUUAUUGGGCGUAAAGCGAGCGCAGGCGGUUUUUUAAGUCUGAUGUGAAAGCCUUCGGCUCAACCGAAGAAGUGCAUCGGAAACUGGGAAACUUGAGUGCAGAAGAGGACAGUGGAACUCCAUGUGUAGCGGUGAAAUGCGAGAUAUAUGGAAGAACACCAGUGGCGAAGGCGGCUGUCUGGUCUGUAACUGACGCUGAGGCUCGAAAGUAUGGGUAGCAAACAGGAUUAGAUACCCUGGUAGUCCAUACCGUAAACGAUGAAUGCUAAGUGUUGGAGGGUUUCCGCCCUUCAGUGCUGCAGCUAACGCAUUAAGCAUUCCGCCUGGGGAGUACGGCCGCAAGGCUGAAACUCAAAGGAAUUGACGGGGGCCCGCACAAGCGGUGGAGCAUGUGGUUUAAUUCGAAGCUACGCGAAGAACCUUACCAGGU